Molecule: long non-coding RNA, 2227 nt
Organism: Alligator mississippiensis (American alligator)
Lineage: Eukaryota; Metazoa; Chordata; Crocodylia; Alligatoridae
Exons: 3
Source: RefSeq, a predicted model, not a curated record
CUGCCAGCAGCCAGAGGGGCAGGAGCAGGAGCUCCUGGAGUUAAGAUGCCAGAACCACAGAAAAAUAUCUUUGUGUAAAAGAAAAGCUUGAUGUGAAGAACAGACUACCAUUCAGGUUCUAGAGGCUUGGAAUAAUUUGGCAAUCAGCAGCAGCACCAAGGAGAACUUGAAGCAGCCAUUUUAAAGAUGCUGCUCCCCACCUGCCAGCAGUCCCAUCCCAUCUGGCCAGCUGAACUUGCCCUGCCUGCAGGAAUCCCAGGCCAUUCUCCAUGAAGACUCCAUCUGUUCACUCCAUCCAGCACCCCCAGCAGUGGGUGCAGGGUGGAUGGGCCAGGAUGCCCAGACAGCAGGGCCAGGUCUGGCAGUGGUGAUAGAAGGAGCCACUGCCAUGGGGCUGCUGGGAAGCUUAGUGUGGUUGCCAUGCUUGCCCCAGCCCAUUGCAUGCCUGCAGGUGGUGGGACUGGAUCAUGCACAGUGGCCUAGGCUCCCCACCACACCUGGGAUGGGCAGGGACAAGGGACCCAGUGCAGGCUGGACAGAAUCCCUUGGUGUUCCAGAUGUAUUUUGUCCAUCCCUGGUCUACACAACAAGUGAAACGAGUGUAUGGAAAGAUCUGAAAAGGAAACCACUCCAGUUAUUCUGGUAUAACACCAUGUAUGGACAUUCUUAUGUUGCUUUAGAAUAAGUGUUAACUAAACAAGAAAUAGCAAUGAGACAAUAUUCUGAGGAAAUAUUUGGAAGCAAUGUGGUCCAUAGGAGAAGCCACAGGCAGCUGCUGAAUUUUAGCACUGCUACCUGCUUAUUGGCCUCUCACCUACACAGCUGUCCAGGAUCAAAAAGCUACAAAUAACUGGAAACAACCUUAAUCCUUCCCUCUUUUUAUACUUCUAUAGUGCACCUUGCACCUUUUUACAAGUACAACACACACACAUACUUUGAUGGAAAUAUAUUUUCCUUGGGACCAGGGGCAGGUCCAGAGGGCACUGUCACUUUUGCUAUGUGCUGCACUUGCAAUGAGCUCAAAAUGCUCACUGGUAUGCCUGUAAAGCUUCUGCUGGGAAUUCUAUAUUUGCCAUGACCUCUGAGCUCUCUGAUUUGCUUAAGCACAAGAUCUAUUCAGACCCCCUACUUGCACACAGCUCAAGCCCAGGUGGUGAGCGCUGCUGCUGUUCUCUCUUCCCCUCCCUACUUCUCCCUUUUUAGUUCAGCAGCAGAAGUGAAAAGGGAAUGAGUAGCUGUAUUUUCAGCUUCUGCUUUUUCAGCUUUAUAGCUUGGGGUUGAACCCUGCUGCCACUUGGGCCUUUUUUCCCAGUGCUUCUUAACUCAGGGGUGGGGGUAAAGGGGAGGGAAGAGUGAAAAGCAGCAGUAUUCAGGUCCUGGGCUCCAGAGCUACAUGCAAGCAGGGGUUCUGAGUAAACCCAGUGCCAACCAGCUGGUGAGCUCAGAGAGCUCAUGGCACAUACUGCUCCCAGGUGCCAUUGAGCUCAGUAUAGAGUUUGGCUGCAACCCCUUCAGCUGUAUAACAUGUGUAGUGAGUUCUCUUCACUGUGGAUGUGUGUCAGAGCCAAAGGGGGUUUGGAAGCAUUGCUUUCAUUGCAAUAGUGGAUCUGCCAAUGAUUAACUAUGUAUCAGUACCAUUUCAAGUCUCCUCUCACACCCAUGUAAACUGGGGAUAACCCCACAGAUAUCAAUGAAAUAACACUGACGUAAACCUAUACGUGUGACAGAAUAUUCAGUCCAACCAUGUCUAGCGUCAUUUAUUCCAACCCUGUAAAAGAGCACCAGCAGCAAGCUUGCCAUUAUGAACACAAGAAAAAAUAAAAUCCCAUCGAGGUACAAGACACCCUUCUCUCAUCACCACAAAAUCCAAAAUCCUACAGAAUAUAGGAAAGGCAUGUUUUGUUUGAAAUCCUCCAAUACUAUCAGAACAUAAAUUUCCAUAUUCCCCUCCAGUAGAAAACCUGCAGAUUAUGGACAAAGUAAAUACACUCUUCAUGGAUUACCUCUCCUUUUUCAAGAAAUUGUCUUCAUUUCAAAUUGGUGGGAUUCCCAGGUUUGUAAAAUAGGCAAAAAGUGAGUGUUCCCAAAUUUACUAGUCAAAAGAAAAUAUAUAUUUUUUUAAUAUCAUGAAUACAGAAGGUUCAUCAGGGCAUAAUGACUGUAACAGGAUUCCUGACUGGAGCCUGUUACUUGGGGAAAAUCCCCACAGUUGGCAGCCAUGAUGUCC